Molecule: ribosomal RNA, 1401 nt
Filed under: uncultured bacterium
Lineage: Bacteria
Description: 16S ribosomal RNA
Rfam family: Bacterial small subunit ribosomal RNA
Source: RNAcentral
AGAGUUUGAUCCUGGCUCAGGAUGAACGCUAGCGACAGGCUUAACACAUGCAAGUCGAGGGGCAGCGGGGGCGUAGCAAUAUGCCUGCCGGCGACCGGCGCACGGGUGAGUAACACGUAUGUAACCUGCCCUAUGCAGGGGGAUAACCCGGAGAAAUCCGGCCUAAUACCGCGUAACACCUUUGGGGAGCAUUCCCUUGGGGUUAAAGGAGAGAUCCGGCAUAGGAUGGACAUGCGUCGCAUUAGGUAGACGGCGGGGUAACGGCCCACCGUGCCGACGAUGCGUAGGGGUUCUGAGAGGAAGGCCCCCCACACUGGUACUGAGACACGGACCAGACUCCUACGGGAGGCAGCAGUGAGGAAUAUUGGUCAAUGGCCGAGAGGCUGAACCAGCCAAGUCGCGUGAGGGAAGAAUGUCCUAAGGAUUGUAAACCUCUUUUGUCGGGGAGCAAAAAGGCUCUGCGGAGUCGUAUUGAGAGUACCCGAAGAAAAAGCAUCGGCUAACUCCGUGCCAGCAGCCGCGGUAAUACGGAGGAUGCGAGCGUUAUCCGGAUUUAUUGGGUUUAAAGGGUGCGCAGGCGGCGUGUCAAGCAAGCGGUAAAAUAGCGGGGCUCAACCCCGUCGAGCCGUUUGAACUGGCGCGCUUGAGUUCAGGCGAGGUAGGCGGAAUUCGUGGUGUAGCGGUGAAAUGCAUAGAUAUCACGAAGAACUCCGAUUGCGAAGGCAGCUUACCAGUCUGCGACUGACGCUCAGGCACGAAAGGGUGGGUAUCGAACAGGAUUAGAUACCCUGGUAGUCCACGCAGUAAACGAUGAAUGCUGGCUGUCCGGGGGGACUGACCCCUGGGUGGCGAAGCGAAAGCGAUAAGCAUUCCACCUGGGGAGUACGCCGGCAACGGUGAAACUCAAAGGAAUUGACGGGGGCCCGCACAAGCGGAGGAACAUGUGGUUUAAUUCGAUGAUACGCGAGGAACCUUACCCGGGCUCAAACGGGGAGUGCCGCAGGCAGAGACGCCUGUUUCCCACGGGACACUCCCCGAGGUGCUGCAUGGUUGUCGUCAGCUCGUGCCGUGAGGUGUCGGCUUAAGUGCCAUAACGAGCGCAACCCCCGCGUGCAGUUGCUAACAGAUAACGCUGAGGACUCUGCACGGACUGCCGGCGCAAGCCGCGAGGAAGGCGGGGAUGACGUCAAAUCAGCACGGCCCUUACGUCCGGGGCGACACACGUGUUACAAUGGGUGGUACAGCGGGAAGCCAGGCGGCGACGCCGAGCGGAACCCGAAAUCCACUCUCAGUUCGGAUCGGAGUCUGCAACCCGACUCCGUGAAGCUGGAUUCGCUAGUAAUCGCGCAUCAGCCAUGGCGCGGUGAAUACGUUCCCGGGCCUUGCACUCACCGCCCGUCA